GACGAACGCUGGCGGCGUGCUUAACACAUGCAAGUCGAACGGAAAGGCCCUGCUUUUGUGGGGUGCUCGAGUGGCGAACGGGUGAGUAACACGUGAGUAACCUGCCCUUGACUUUGGGAUAACUUCAGGAAACUGGGGCUAUACCGGAUAGGAGCUCCUGCUGCAUGGUGGGGGUUGGAAAGUUUCGGCGGUUGGGGAUGGACUCGCGGCUUAUCAGCUUGUUGGUGGGGUAGUGGCUUACCGAGGCUUUGACGGGUAGCCGGCCUGAGAGGGUGACCGGCCACAUUGGGACUGAGAUACGGCCCAGACUCCUACGGGAGGCAGCAGUGGGGAAUAUUGCACAAUGGGCGGAAGCCUGAUGCAGCAACGCCGCGUGCGGGAUGACGGCCUUCGGGUUGUAAACCGCUUUCGCCUGUGACGAAGCGUGAGUGACGGUAAUGGGUAAAGAAGCACCGGCUAACUACGUG
Molecule: ribosomal RNA, 467 nt
Filed under: uncultured bacterium
Lineage: Bacteria
Description: partial 16S ribosomal RNA
Rfam family: Bacterial small subunit ribosomal RNA
Source: RNAcentral